AUCCCCCUAACCCCCUUAUGCCCUGGUAACCAUGAGCUUGUUUUCUAGUGAUGGCCCUCUCUAAAGGGAGGUUAAUCGUUCACACUGGGUAAGAACAAUCAUUUACAAGCUCAUGACAGCUUGCCUGUUUUGCUCUUCACUUUGCCCCCGUGAGUUAGGAGGAGCAGAUGCUGCCUCCGUUUUACAGAAGCAGCUGAGGCAUAGAAGAGUGGCAGUUGCCUGUGUGAGCCCACACGCCCUAGAACAGUCCCUGUGAUGAUCCGGAGGUAUUAACAUUGAGGGACUGAGCCUGACUCUCUACUGACAGAAGUUAAAGUCUGAGGACUUCACUUCUUAGUGGAGCAGGAACAUGGUAAUGAGAAGACCUGCAUGUGUACUGAAAAAUGUUUGCUGAGCAAGGGGUCCCAGGGAGAAGCAAGAGCUGAAGAACACAGUGCCGAACGGAAGUGCCGGACAUCCACCGCUGAGCAAGGACUGUGAAACCAUUCACGGAUGGAUUUUGACCCGUUAGGGAAUAGAUACCAAAUGUUUUUUGACCCUGUCAGGAUCAAGAGAAAAAUCAGUAAUUCAGUGAUUACUUUAAAAAAAUAAUUUA
Long non-coding RNA from Capra hircus (goat), 595 nucleotides. RefSeq lists it as uncharacterized. Lineage: Eukaryota; Metazoa; Chordata; Mammalia; Artiodactyla; Bovidae. The record is from RefSeq and is a predicted model, not a curated record. The transcript is spliced from 3 exons.